RNAcentral lists this ribosomal RNA (540 nucleotides) under Hydrogenophaga sp. Ana5. Its description in RNAcentral is "bacterial SSU rRNA". It matches the Rfam family "Bacterial small subunit ribosomal RNA", at positions 384 to 916 of the family's 1533-position model. The record is from RNAcentral. Lineage: Bacteria; Pseudomonadati; Pseudomonadota; Betaproteobacteria; Burkholderiales; Comamonadaceae.
UGAUCCAGCAAUGCCGCGUGCAGGAAGAAGGCCUUCGGGUUGUAAACUGCUUUUGUACGGAACGAAACGGCUCUGGUUAAUACCCGGGGCUAAUGACGGUACCGUAAGAAUAAGCACCGGCUAACUACGUGCCAGCAGCCGCGGUAAUACGUAGGGUGCGAGCGUUAAUCGGAAUUACUGGGCGUAAAGCGUGCGCAGGCGGUGCUGUAAGACAGGCGUGAAAUCCCCGGGCUCAACCUGGGAAUGGCGCUUGUGACUGCAGUGCUGGAGUGCGGCAGAGGGGGAUGGAAUUCCGCGUGUAGCAGUGAAAUGCGUAGAUAUGCGGAGGAACACCGAUGGCGAAGGCAAUCCCCUGGGCCUGCACUGACGCUCAUGCACGAAAGCGUGGGGAGCAAACAGGAUUAGAUACCCUGGUAGUCCACGCCCUAAACGAUGUCAACUGGUUGUUGGGUCUCUUCUGACUCAGUAACGAAGCUAACGCGUGAAGUUGACCGCCUGGGGAGUACGGCCGCAAGGUUGAAACUCAAAGGAAAUUGACGG